UAUAUUCUAAUAGCUUAACCUACAAAGCAUUGGUCUUGUAAACCGAAGAUGAU
RNAcentral lists this transfer RNA (53 nucleotides) under Emys orbicularis (European pond turtle). RNAcentral describes it as "partial tRNA-Thr". Lineage: Eukaryota; Metazoa; Chordata; Testudines; Emydidae. The record is from RNAcentral.